GACGGAGGAUGCAAGUGUUAUCCGGAAUCACUGGGCGUAAAGCGUCUGUAGGUGGUCAAAUAAGUCAACUGUUAAAUCUUGAGGCUCAACCUCAAAAUCGCAGUCGAAACUAUUAGACUAGAGUAUAGUAGGGGUAAAGGGAAUUUCCAGUGGAGCGGUGAAAUGCGUAGAGAUUGGAAAGAACACCGAUGGCGAAGGCACUUUACUGGGCUAUUACUAACACUCAGAGACGAAAGCUAGGGGAGCGAAUGGG
This 253-nucleotide ribosomal RNA is filed under the name uncultured bacterium. RNAcentral describes it as "partial 16S ribosomal RNA". It matches the Rfam family "Bacterial small subunit ribosomal RNA", at positions 524 to 776 of the family's 1533-position model. The record is from RNAcentral.